This 111-nucleotide ribosomal RNA is filed under the name uncultured eukaryote. RNAcentral's name for it is "partial small subunit ribosomal RNA". It matches the Rfam family "Eukaryotic small subunit ribosomal RNA", at positions 1676 to 1785 of the family's 1831-position model. The record is from RNAcentral.
UCGCUACUACCGAUUGAAUGGCUUAGUGAAUCUUCCGGACUGCUGGCUUAGGUUUCGCAAGGGACUUUUGCUGCGGAAAGUUAUGUAAACUUGGUCAUUUAGAGGAAGUAA